Molecule: transfer RNA, 75 nt
Filed under: Candidatus Aerophobota bacterium
Lineage: Bacteria; Candidatus Aerophobota
Description: Candidatus Aerophobetes bacterium tRNA-Gly
Rfam family: tRNA
About the family: Transfer RNA (tRNA) molecules are approximately 80 nucleotides in length. Their secondary structure includes four short double-helical elements and three loops (D, anti-codon, and T loops). Further hydrogen bonds mediate the characteristic L-shaped molecular structure. tRNAs have two regions of fundamental functional importance: the anti-codon, which is responsible for specific mRNA codon recognition, and the 3' end, to which the tRNAs corresponding amino acid is attached (by aminoacyl-tRNA synthetases). tRNAs cope with the degeneracy of the genetic code in two manners: having more than one tRNA (with a specific anti-codon) for a particular amino acid; and 'wobble' base-pairing, i.e. permitting non-standard base-pairing at the 3rd anti-codon position.
Source: RNAcentral
GCGGGAAUAGCUCAGUGGUAGAGCACCACCUUGCCAAGGUGGGGGUCGCGGGUUCGAGUCCCGUUUCCCGCUCCA